This 258-nucleotide small RNA is filed under the name Arabidopsis thaliana (thale cress). RNAcentral's name for it is "ATSL067190". The stretch from base 57 to 178 matches the Rfam family "MIR405 microRNA precursor family". Lineage: Eukaryota; Viridiplantae; Streptophyta; Magnoliopsida; Brassicales; Brassicaceae. The record is from RNAcentral.
UUAAUUAUUUAUUAUUGUUUUAUAAUAAUAAUUAAUUAAAUUAUUACUUAAAUGGGUUAACCUAUUUAACAACUCAACCCAUCAAAUUAAAUGAGUUAUGGGUUGACCCAACUCAUUUAACAAAAUGAGUUGGGUCAACCCAUAACUCAUUUAACUCUAAACUCAUUUGAUUAUGAGUUGAGUUGGGUUACCCAUUUUGACAUCCCUACAUGUGGCAAAAAGAAUAAAGUGUUAAAAUUGUUUCAGUCUUUAAUUUAG